Molecule: unclassified non-coding RNA, 304 nt
Filed under: uncultured Phaeophyscia
Lineage: Eukaryota; Fungi; Ascomycota; Lecanoromycetes; Caliciales; Physciaceae
Description: sequence contains ITS1
Rfam family: 5.8S ribosomal RNA (bases 1-105)
Source: RNAcentral
GAAAUGCGAAAAUUAAUGUGAAUUGCAGAAUUCCGUGAAUCAUCGAGUCUUUGAACGCACAUUGCGCCCUUCGGUAUUCCGAAGGGCAUGCCUGUUCGAGCGUCAUUGCACCCCUCAAGCACUGCUUGGUAUUGGGCUUCGCCCCCGUGGCGGGCCUGGAAUUCAGUGGCGGUCCAGCGAGACUUCAAGCGUAGCAAGAUUUCACGAUCCCGCUUUGGAAGGUUCGUGCUGUGUGCCGGCCAGACAACCCCAUUAUUUAUCAAUGGUUGACCUCGGAUCAGGUAGGGAUACCCGCUGAACUUAA